RNAcentral lists this ribosomal RNA (253 nucleotides) under uncultured bacterium. Its description in RNAcentral is "partial 16S ribosomal RNA". It matches the Rfam family "Bacterial small subunit ribosomal RNA", at positions 524 to 776 of the family's 1533-position model. The record is from RNAcentral.
UACGGAGGGGGCUAGCGUUGUUCGGAAAUACUGGGCGUAAAGCGCACGUAGGCGGCGAUUCAAGUCAGAGGUGAAAGCCCGGGGCUCAACCCCGGAACUGCCUUUGAAACUAGAUUGCUAGAAUCCUGGAGAGGUGAGUGGAAUUCCGAGUGUAGGGGUGAAAUUCGUAGAUAUUCGGAAGAACACCAGUGGCGAAGGCGACUCACUGGACAGGUAUUGACACUGAGGUGCGAGAGCGUGGGGAGCAAACAGG